This 492-nucleotide unclassified non-coding RNA is filed under the name Rhodanthe citrina. RNAcentral describes it as "partial external transcribed spacer". The record is from RNAcentral. Lineage: Eukaryota; Viridiplantae; Streptophyta; Magnoliopsida; Asterales; Asteraceae.
UUCUGGCUAAUGGUGGCUUGCCUUGCAUUUGUGCUUGGUUUGUCGCUGUUAGUUGGUUUGAUCUCGGGAAUGUCUACCGUAAAGGUGCAUGAGUGGUGUUUGGUUUGUUACGGGUGGUUGGCUCCUUGCUUGCGCAACCAACUUCCACCUGGCAUACCUCUUCAGUUUUGUAUCGAUGCUUGUUUGCAUUGAAUGCAUUCUGGGUUUCUUGUGUUGCAUUCCUAAUUGAUGGUAUCGUUUGAUGAAUGGAUGUCUAUUUUCGUCUUGUGUUGCUAAUGCGAUACGGGAUGGACCAUUAAGCAACUCUUGUGAUCCACACCUUUGGUGCACACGCAUUGAUUUUGUGGCUCAUUGAGCGUUGCUUGGUCUCAUGGAUAUAGAACCUUGUGUGGGCAUGGGAUCUUUUAGUAGUUCCUUGUUUGCUCUAGCUAAGCUUUUCAAAUACGAUUUCCUACUAUGUGUCAACGUGGUAGGCUAUAUCGAAUAUGAAUG